GAUGAACGCUGGCGGCGUGCCUAAUACAUGCAAGUCGAGCGAACAGACGAGGAGCUUGCUCCUCUGACGUUAGCGGCGGACGGGUGAGUAACACUUGGAUAACCUACCUAUAAGACUGGGAUAACUUCGGGAAACCGGAGCCACUACCGGAUAAUAUAUUGAACCGCAUGGUUCAAUAGUGAAAGACGGUUUUGCUGUCACUUAUAGAUGGAUCUGCGCCGCAUUAGCUAGUUGGUAAGGUAACGGCUUACCACGGCAACGAUGCGUAGCCGACCUGAGAGGGUGAUCGACCACACUGGAACUGAGACACGGUCCAGACUCCUACGGGAGGCAGCAGUAGGGAAUCUUCCGCAAUGGGCGAAAGCUUGACGGAGCAACGCCGCGUGAGUGAUGAAGGUCUUCGGAUCGUAAAACUCUGUUAUUAGGGAAGAACAAAGGUGUAAGUAACUGUGCACGUCUUGACGGUACCUAAUCAGAAAGCCACGGCUAACUACGUG
Molecule: ribosomal RNA, 497 nt
Filed under: uncultured bacterium
Lineage: Bacteria
Description: partial 16S ribosomal RNA
Rfam family: Bacterial small subunit ribosomal RNA
Source: RNAcentral